Molecule: ribosomal RNA, 24 nt
Filed under: Dermocybe malicoria
Lineage: Eukaryota; Fungi; Basidiomycota; Agaricomycetes; Agaricales; Cortinariaceae
Description: partial 18S ribosomal RNA
Source: RNAcentral
AGGUGACCUACGGAAGGAUCAUUA